This 492-nucleotide ribosomal RNA is filed under the name uncultured bacterium. RNAcentral describes it as "partial 16S ribosomal RNA". It matches the Rfam family "Bacterial small subunit ribosomal RNA", at positions 29 to 507 of the family's 1533-position model. The record is from RNAcentral.
AGUGAACGCUGGCGGCAGGCCUAACACAUGCAAGUCGAACGGCAGCACAGUAAGAGCUUGCUCUUACGGGUGGCGAGUGGCGGACGGGUGAGGAAUACAUCGGAAUCUACUUUUUCGUGGGGGAUAACGUAGGGAAACUUACGCUAAUACCGCAUACGACGUACGGGUGAAAUCAGGGGAUCUUCGGACCUUUCGCGUUUCAUUGAGCUGAAGUCGGAUUAGCUAGUUGGCGAGGUAAAGGCCCACCAAGGCGACGAUCCGUAGCUGGUCUGAGAGGAUGAUCAGCCACACUGGAACUGAGACACGGUCCAGACUCCUACGGGAGGCAGCAGUAGGGAAUAUUGGGCAAUGGGCGCAAGCCUGACCCAGCCAUGCCGCGUGAGUGAAGAAGGUCUUCGGGUUGUAAAGCCCUUUUAUUAGGAAAGAACAGCAGCGUGUUAAUACACCGCUGUUCUGACGGUACCCAAAGAAUAAGCACCGGCUAACUUCGUG